This 630-nucleotide ribosomal RNA is filed under the name Nocardiopsis sp. RNAcentral's name for it is "bacterial SSU rRNA". It matches the Rfam family "Bacterial small subunit ribosomal RNA", at positions 769 to 1396 of the family's 1533-position model. Lineage: Bacteria; Bacillati; Actinomycetota; Actinomycetes; Streptosporangiales; Nocardiopsidaceae. The record is from RNAcentral.
CGAACUAGAUUAGAUAGCCUGGUACUCCGUACAGAAACGGCUGGGCGUUAGGUGUUCGUACUUUCCUCUCUGUCCGGCACGUAACUCACUCAUUUCGCCCCCUGCCUGGGGAGUCCGCCCGCAAGGCAGUAAAUGAAAUGGAUGGGGGGGGGCCCCCGGGAGGGGCGGUGCGUGUUACUUAAUCCGAACCAAAACUACCUACCCAAACAAUGUCCGACAUCAGCAAGGUCCCUGCACAGAUGCGGGGUCAUUUACUUGGUACAUGUCGGGCAGUGCAGUGGUCUCCUUAGCUCGCGCGGUGAGAGGUUAAGUCCAGUACCGAGACCAACCCACCCCCUGUUCCAUCUGCCCAGCAUGGAAUGGUGGGGACUCAUGGGAGACCCCCGGGGUCAAAUCCGAGGAAAGGGGGGACGACGGCCAGUUCACAAUCCCCUUAAUUUCUGGGCUGCCAACAGGGCACCAACGCCCGGUCAAAGGACGUGCGAUACCGUGAGGUGGAUAGAAUCCCAAAAAGCCGGUCUCAGUUCGGAUUGGGGUCUGCAACUCGACCCCAUGAAGGCGGAGUCGCUAGUAAUCGCAGAUCAGCAUUGCUGCGGUGAAUACGUUCCCGGGCCUAGUACACACCGCCCG